UACGUAGGGGGCGAGCGUUGUCCGAAUUUAUUGGGCGUAAAGCGCGUGUAGGCGGCUCUUUAAGUCAGAUGUGAAAUCUUGCGGCUCAACCGCAAAACUGCAUUUGAUACUGGAGGGCUUGAGUAAGGGAGAGGAAAGUGGAAUUCCUGGUGUAGCGGUGAAAUGCGUAGAUAUCAGGAGGAACACCCAUGGCGAAGGCAGCUUUCUGGCCUUUUACUGACGCUGAGACGCGAAAGCUAGGGGAGCGAACGGG
This 253-nucleotide ribosomal RNA is filed under the name uncultured Armatimonadota bacterium. RNAcentral's name for it is "uncultured Armatimonadetes bacterium partial 16S ribosomal RNA". It matches the Rfam family "Bacterial small subunit ribosomal RNA", at positions 524 to 776 of the family's 1533-position model. Lineage: Bacteria; Bacillati; Armatimonadota. The record is from RNAcentral.